CACUGAUGGAGUUUUGGUUCCUUGCCGCUGUCGCCUCUGGCUUGCUUAGUUGGGGACACUUCAUUUACAGCGAUAUCGUUGACUUGAUUGCAAAUUAUUGCACAGAUACUAUUUAAACUGAACUGAGCUGCAUGGUGACAUCACUGAAUUCAAUGAUGAACUGCCUUUAACUGUCAUUUUGCAUUAUUGACACACUGUUUUUCUAAUUAAUUUUGUUCAGUUGCUUUGACGCAAUCUUUUUUGUUUAAAGCACUAUAUAAAGAAAGGUACGGAGCCCCUUAAGGUUCAUUGUGGUGGAAAAAAAUCAGAGAGUUAUGAACGUGAAAUAAUGACACAGACUGGCUACACCAUCUCAUCUGCCGCAGAUACUGUAUCAGGAGGACAGCGCGUUUGUUUGAGGCACUUUUCACUUCAACUGUGUCUGACAGGAGAAUUAGCUUUUCUGAGCUUACUAGCCGUUGAGAGUUACCAUGGCAACCGCGGACACAUCAGCUGCUGGAGAGGAGAGGACUCCUCUGACACUUUCUCUGUUUCUCGUCAGUUAUACCAAAGAAAAGUUCAACAACUGCGACAGAUUGCUUAAGUAACACAUGUUAAUAUCAUCCACACUCUAUGUACUUUUGUUCAUAUUUAUACCUCUGUGAUUAUGGUAUAUUUCCUUAAUUAUCUGAAAUGUCUGCUAGCAAACAUUACGCUAGUGUAGAAACAAAACUAUAGCAUAAUUGAUUUGAGCUCUUAUUAAUGAAAGUUGGGGCUUUUAAUCACAUCUUAUGCCUAAAGGAGCAGUUUUGAUAGCUUUGUAAAAACAAAAGUCUUGAACUCUGUAAAGACGCUAAAACCCUUUUUUAAUAUUAUUGUUUUUACUAGCCGUUGAGAGUUGCCAUGGCAACCGCGGACACGUCAUCAGCUACUGGAGAGGACGCGUCUGACACUUUCUCUGUUUCUCGUCAGUUAUACCAAAGAAAAGUUCAACAACUGCGACAGAUCGGUUAAGUAACACAUGUUAAUAUCAUCCACAGUCUACUUUAAGUACUUUUGUUAAUAUUUAUACCUUAAUUAUCUGAAAUGUUUGUUAGCAAAUAUUACGCUAGCGUAGAAACAAAACUAUAGCAUAAUUGAUUUGAGCUCUUAUUAAUGAAAGUUUGGGCUUUUAAUCACAUCUUAUGUGUAAAGGGGCGGUUUUGAUAGCUUUGUAAAUGUUUUGCUGAUAAUUUGUCAAUAGAUAAAUGGAAGUAAGCUAAUUAAUUUAACCUGAAAGUCUGCACUGUAGAGUCUGUCAGUGACGUCACUUGCACACAGUCUAAAAUGGGCUGAAACUAUUUCAAACCACUGUUUCAAACACGUUUUGAUUGUUCAUUGUAAACAAAUUCUGGUAUCUUAAGAUUUUUUUUGUAUUUUUUAUUUUGUAUUUUCCCUUAUUCUCUAGUUUGUUUAUUUCUAAUAAGGAGCUGGAGGCCCUGGAGAAGCAGAUCCGUGACCUCGUGGAGAAGCAGGCUCAGCUGAGAGAGCGGAGAGCCGUGAUGGAAACAUUCAGGGGUUGAUGCUCAUAAGUCCGGUGUAAGUAUACAGCACGCUGCUAACUCUCCCACCACCUCUACUCUGUGUGGUUCUCUGCACAGGCCCGGUGUACCCAGGACGCAAUCUUUCCAGAUGUCCUUCACCCUGUGCCACAGCGUAAGACAUGAGCCAGGUCCUGGGCGACAACCUCUCUCCCCCCGCCGCCUCCGGUCUUCGGGAACUCCACUGGAAACCGAUUUGCUCCACUUCACGAGACAGAACACGACUCUGUGUUCGUCAGAGACUCCAUUAUCCGGCACGUUCGUGCUAUGUAAGCUGAAGGUAAUGUGCACACUCACUGUUUCCCUGGUGCUCGUGUUCUUGAUAUUUCUGCGCAGAUACCCGUGAUCCUGAAGGGUGAAGAGAGCAUCGGAGCGGUCGUGCUUCACACCGGGGUUAACGAUACCAAGCUGCGGCAGACGCAGACACUAAAGAGGGACUUCAGGAGCCUGAUCGAGACGGUGCGCAGCAUAUCGCCUGCACGAUGAUCAUCAUCUCAGCACCUCUUCUCAUGUAUAGAUGAGGACACGAAAGGUUCAGUAGAUUUUUUGCUCUAAAUGAAUGGUUAUUGUCAUGGUGUAAAGAACAGAAACUGCUCUUUGUUAAUAAUUGGAAUCUUUUCUGGGAGCGACCUAGGCUUUUUCGCGCUGAUGGCCUGCACCCCAGCAGAGUCGGAGCAGAACUCCUGUCGGACAACAUCUCAAGGACUCUACACUCCAUUGACUAGGCAGUUUGUGAAGACAGAUAAUCAAGAGAUGUGACAAACUGUACAGAAGUCAGUUCCAGAUCCACCCUCCACACCAGACCUCUCUCAUAUGGACUGCUGUCUACUAGCAUACUUCGGUGGAUUCAGAUAUUACUCAGGGACAUGAACACUUGAAUAUUGCAAGCAUAGAGAAAGUAAGAAUUACUGAAGAUUUAAGAAUUUAAUGUUAAUUGCUUAAACAUUAUAUAUACUGUUUUAGCAAUUAACAUUAAUAGUUUUUUUUUGGUGUCCAAAGCACCUAAAAGCCAAUUCACACCACCAUACUCCAACAGUUCAAACAAAACAAAAUAAGCAUGUUUUUUUAAAUAGUUUUUUUGGCAGUGUGAACUGGCCAUAAUGAUGUAUGUUAGGUGUGAGAUUCAUUAAACCUGAUUUGCUAUUAUACAUCUGUUCAUAAGAUAUUGCAUAUGAUUUUCAGUUAAUUGUUUGUAGUGGUUUGGUAAAGGGUGUGAUUAGCUGAUGUAUUAUUGUGGGAGCAUGUGAUUAGUUGAUGAAUUGUGUGCAUGGUUAAUGAUGGCUCUUAAGUAUUUAAAUGCAAUGGGCUGAGUGCCUACUAAGACUUGAAUAUUUCAUGACCCUGGAUGCUAACAGAAGGAUAUAGAUAUUUAAAUAUAUGGACAUUUAUUUAUUAUUAAUAUAUUUUAAUCUAUCUAUGCUUCUGUAUGGGCUGAAUGCUUUCAUUCACAUUUUGCUGUAUAUCCUAUGUUUUUUUAUUAAUAAUUUGGGUGUAUUACUGGUCAUAUUUGUUUGUUAAUAAAUGAACUGAAUUCAUUUCGAGUCUGUAUUCAUUAUUCACAGCUGCUGAAACAGCCUUUAAAUUAGUUUGGGCAUAUGAGGACAUAAAUUAGAUUAAACUACUGCAUGUCCGCCCAUAAAAAAUAAAUAAUUAUCAAAAAUUACCAACUGAUUACCAGCACACAACUACCGAUUCGCGACGUUGCCACGACGUCGCAGUUACUUACUGGUAACGUCACAAAGUUACGUUGUGGCGACGUAUACGCACCUUUCACUUUUCCGGUUGCCACGACGUAACUAGUUACGUCGCCACGACGAAACUUUGGUCACCAGAUUACGUUGCAGUUACGUAACAGUUACGUACUUUUGUUAGCUGGGAUAUUAUUAAA
Molecule: long non-coding RNA, 3447 nt
Organism: Cyprinus carpio carpio
Lineage: Eukaryota; Metazoa; Chordata; Actinopteri; Cypriniformes; Cyprinidae
Source: Ensembl